RNAcentral lists this small nucleolar RNA (101 nucleotides) under Otolemur garnettii (small-eared galago). RNAcentral's name for it is "Small nucleolar RNA U3 (ENSOGAG00000023616.1)". The record is from RNAcentral. Lineage: Eukaryota; Metazoa; Chordata; Mammalia; Primates; Galagidae.
AAGACUAUAUUUUCAGGGAUCGUUUCUAUAGUUCGUUCAAGUACACAGUUCAGUGGCAUUAAGUACCGUCACAAUGCUGUAUGACCAUCACCACAUCUAGU